UGUUGGAGAUACUGGUUAAAGUUAUGUUGGUGUGUGUACUGUGAGGUACUAAAUAAUGGAACAUGACUUGAAUAAUUUGUGAAGUAGCCAUAAAACAUAUUUUAAGUUUCAUUUAAAAAGUCUUGUACAGUAACGAGAAAGCUCAAGUGCUGUGUAUGGUGAUGCUUGAAUAUGUAGCCCUUCUUUUUCUGAUGUCUUAUGCUUGUGUUCCAGAUUUCAUCUUCGCGUCAUACUAGUUUUAUGACUUUGGUUAAAUACUAGAGUAACUGUGGUACUUCAUACGAUUAUUGUGAGAAUCAAGUGAAAUAAUGUUCGUAAAGGAAUUAACAUAGAUUUUGACAUCACAGCUUUAUGUUGGCCUAAAACUAGUAGGGUAAUAGCUGUUCUUUUUUCUGUUCUCUGGGUGAAUCUGUGUAAGGCUUCUGUUAUUUCCUCAUUAAUCAUUUGGAAAAUUUUACUGGUGGAAUCAUCUGGCCUUAGGUUUUAUUUGUGGAAAGAUUUUAAUUGCAGAUGUAACUUUUUUUUUAAAUAGAAGAAUUAAAAUUUUUUUUUGUAAGUUGUGCUUUUCAGGUUAUUUGCCCAUUUCAUCAAGAUUGUCACAUUUAUUGCAGUAAAGUUGUUUUUAAUAUCCUUUUACUCUUUAUUACCUUUUAAUGUCUCUCAGGGUAUGAUGUCUAUGAUUGAUAAUAUUAAUAAUAGUAUUUCUUAGGUUGUUACUGUGAUUCAUUAAACAGUUUCUUUUUCCUGUUUGUAUGAAACUGAAUGAUAAUGCAGAAAAACAUUCAAACUUGUGAUUUGCAGCUAAAUGCCUAGAGGUAAAUUUAUAGCUGAGGUGCAUGUACAUGAGUCACAAACAUGCUUCCUACAGCUGGUGCAAGUUUGUGUAGGAUUUUGUGUAGAUAAGUUCUUAGGCAAAAGUGUUAUGAUUGUAGAGUAUUUGUCAUUUUGGACUAAGUUCUUAUUGCCCAACUAUUGCCAAUUAAAUAUUGUAUCAUAAGUAUAGAAAAGAGCUACGUUAUGUUUUUUCCUCUCCCUCUGCAAUUUUAGAGAAGUAUGAUAGUCAAAUGUUUGUGUUGGAUACCAAAGAUUUCUAUUUUCAAACCAGGAACUAGCAGAGUUCUAGUAUUUUUCCCUUUCUCCUUUGCUUUUUUUUUUUUUUUUACUUUUAUUGAGCUUCAAGUGAACGUUUACAAAUCAAGUCAGACUGUCACGUAUGAGUUUAUAUACACCUUACUCCGUAUUCCCACUUGCUCUCCCCCUAAUGAGUCAGCCCUUCCAGUUUCUCCUUUCGGGACAAUUUUGCCAGCUUGCAACCCUCUCUAUUCUCCCAUCCCCCCUCCAGACAGGAGAUGCCAACACAGUCUCAACUGUCCACCUGAUACAAAUAGUUCACUCUUCAUCAGCAUCUCUCUCCUACCCACCGUCCAGUUCCUUCCAUGUCUGAUGAGUUGUCUUCGGGAAUGGUUCCUGUCCUGUGCUUACAGAAGGUUUGGGGACCAUGACCACCAGGAUUCCUCUAGUCUCAGUCAGAUCAUUAAGUCUGGUCUUUUUGUGAGAAUUUGGGGUCUGCAUCCCACUGAUCUCCUGCUCCCUCAGGGGUUCUCUGUUGUGCUCCCUGUCAUCAGUUGUGGCUGGGCACCAACUAGUUCUUCUGGUCUCAGGAUGAUGUAAGUCACUGGUUCAUGUGGCCCUUUCUGUCUCUUGGGCUCAUAGUUAUCGUGUGACCUUGGUGUUCUUCUUUCUCCUUUGAUCCAGGUGGGUUGAGACCAAUUGAUGCAUCUUAGAUGGGCGCUUGUUAGCAUUUAAGACCCCAGACACCACAUUUCAAAGUGGGAUGCAGAAUGUUUUCAUAAUAGAAUUAUUUUGCCAAUUGACUUAGAAGUCCCCUUAAACCAUAGUCCCCAAACCCCCGCCCUUGCUCUGCUGACCUUUGAAGCAUUCAUUUUAUCCCGGAAACUUCUUUGCUUUUGGUCCAGUCCAGUUGAGCUGACCUUCCAUGCAUUGAGUAUUGUCGUUCCCUUCACCUAAAGUAGUUCUCAUCUACUAACUAAUCGGUAAAAAACCCUCUCCCUCCCUCCCUCCCUCCUCCCUUCAUAACCACUAAAGUAUGUGUUCUUCUCAGUUUAUACUAUUUCUUGAGAUCUUAUAAUAGUGGUCUUAUGCAAUAUUUGUCCUUUUGCCUCUGACUAAUUUCACUCAGCAUAAUGCCUUCCAGGUUCCUCCACGUUAUGAAAUGUUUCACAGAUUCGUCACUGUUCUUUAUCGAUGCGUAGUAUUUCAUUGUGUGAAUAUACCACAAUUUAUUUACCCAUUCAUCCAUUGAUGGACACCUUGGUUGCUUCCAGCUUUUUGCUAUUGUAAACAGAGCUGCAAUAAACAUGGGUGUGCAUAUAUCUGUUUGUGUGAAGGCUCUUAUUUCUCUAGGGUACAUUCCGAGUAGUGGGAUUUCUGGGUAGUAUGGUCCUUUGCAUUUUAUAUUCGUAUUGUGCAUGGAAUCCUAACCUCUUCUGUAGUAUUCGUGGCUUGCAUGGCUUUAGAUGAAAGUUAACCCUGAGCGUAUGGCCCCUGGAUACCCAUUCAGCUCAGUAAUGAGGCCACUCCUGAGGUUCACCCUUCAGCUGAAGAUAGAACAGGCCCAUGGAAAAAACAAGACUAAGGGGGCACACCAGCCCUGGGAAAGGGACUGGAAGGUAGGAGGGAACAGGAAAGCUGGUUAUGGGGAACCCAGGAUCAAGAAGGGAGAGCGUUGACAUGUUGUGGGGUUGUUAACCAGUGUCAUAGAACAAUGUGUGUACUGUUCGAUGAGAAACUAGUUUGUUCUGUAAACCUUCAUCUAAAGUUCAAUUAAAAAACAAAACAACAAAACUCAUGAAAACGUUUACACACAGAAAGGAAAAAAACGAGUUAAGUCCCUACUUUGAGCUUUUAUUUUAAGAUGAGUUUGAUAAUAAUUUUUGGAGCUCUUAGGUUUCUGAUACUCAAUUUGAUAUUAUACAUGAUGCUCUUUUUCUAGUAGCUUUAAUUUUUUAAGAUAACUGGUAAUUUAAAGCAUUAAAGGAACAAAACAAAUUGUAUUCACUCUUUCAUCACCCUAUUCUCUACAUGUUUAAUGUUAAGAUUUUAGUUAUUUCAUAAGAUCUGAUAUUGUCGAAACAAGAAGAAGCAACCACAGCAUUAAUCACUGCUCAAUUUAAGGCUCACUUUUUGGGUAUGCUUUUGACAUACUGUCAUAAAAGGAAUUUUUCUAAGAACAGAUUUUGUUUUUUUCAUUUAACAUAUAAUAUUUUUAAAAAGAUUGGUCCCACAGGAGAGAAUUUUAGGCUCUAGUAAGUACUCGUCUGUCAAUUUUUUGUACUGUGGGGCUUGCAUGUUGCUGUAAUGCUGGAAGUUAUGCCAUCGGUACUUCGAAUACCAGCAGAGUCACCCAUGGUGGACAGGUUUUAGCAGAGCUUCCAGACUAACAGACUGGGAAGAAGGACCUGGUGGUUCACUUCAGAAAAAACUAACCAGUGAAAACUUUAUGGAUAGCAGCAGAACAUCAUCUGAUACAGUGCUGGAAGAUAAGUCCUGCAGGUUGGAAAGCACUCAAGAUACGACUCGGGAAGAGCUGCCUCAAAGUAGAAUCGAACUUAAUGACGUGGAUGGAGUAAACCUUUCGGAACCUUCAUUUGCUGAUGUGGCACGAUUCAAAAUGAGAAGAAACAGCUGCAGACAUACAUUAAUAAUCGAAACAUGGAAUGUACGAAGUAUGAAUCCAGGAAAAAUGGAGGUCAUAACAAAUUAUGGACAAUACUAUGAAGAAUGGGACUUCCAGAACACUUAAGCGUGCUCAUGUGAAACUUGUAUGUAGACCAAGAGGCAGUCAUUUGAACAGAACAAGGGGAUACUGUAUGGUUUAAAAUCAGGAAAGGUUGUACCCUUUCACCAUACUUACUCAAUCUCUAUGCUGAGCAAAUCCCAGAAGCUCUACUUUAUGAAGAACAGGGCAUCAAGCUUGGAGGAAGACUCCUUAACAACCUGUGGUAUGCAGAUGACACAACCUUGCUUGCUGAAAGUGAAGGGGACUUGGAGCACUUACUGAUGAAGAUCAAAGACUACAGCCCUCAGAGUGGAUUGCACCUUAAGAUAAAGAAACCAAACAUCCUCACAGCUGGACCAAUAAGCAACAUCAUGGUAAAAGGAGAAAAGAUGGAAGUUGGCAAAGGUUUCAUUUUACUUCGAUCCACAAUCAACGCCCAUGGAAGCAACAGUGAGGUAAUCAAAUGACAGAUUGUAUUAGCAAAUCUGCUGCAAAAACCUCUUUAAAGUGUUGAAAAGUAAAGAUGCUCCUUUGAGGGCUAAGGUGUGCCUGACUCAGGCCAUGGUGUUUUCAGUUGUCUCAUAUGCAUGUGAAAGGUAGAAAGUGAAUAAGGAAGACUGAAGAAUUGAUGCCUUUGAGUUUUGGUGUUGGUGAAGAAUAUUGAAUAUCCUAUGAACUACCAGAAAAAUGAACAGAGCUGUCACAAUGCUCCUUAGAAGCAAGGAUGGUGAGACUUCAUCUUAGGUACUUUGGACAUGUUCUCAGGAGGGAUCAGUCCCUGGAGAAGGACUUAAUGCCUGGUAGAGGGUCAGCUAAAAAGAGGAAGACCCCUCAAUGAGAUGUAUUGACACGGUGGCUGCAACGAUGGGCUCAAACAUAGCAGCGAUUUUGAGGAUGGUGGAGGAUCGGGCAGCGUUUUGUUCUGUUGUACGUAAGGUUGCUAUGAGCUGGAACUGACUUGUUGCCACCUAACAACAAGAAAUGAGUACAGUAAAACUUGUGAAAGCUGGGACUGGUGUAAGUCAGAAACCGGUCAGAGAAGGAAAACUCAAGUGUUUUCCCCUAAAAGGAGUGAUAGAUAAGACCCUGUCAAAGGCGUAAAACUUGCGAGACCUGCAAAAACAAGAUAGUUCUUUUGUUCUGGCUCUCACAGUUUUUACUGUAGUACAACUCAGUGAAUAAUUGAAACACUUGGCAAAGGCAUUGUGAGAUGAACACUCCUGGCUGCUGUUGCCGAAGAAUGUAUUAGUGUAAAACUCUACAGUGGAAUUUGGUAGUAUACGUCAUUGGCCUUAGAAGAAAAACUAUACUUUUGUUGUAGUUAUUACAUUUCCAGGAUCCUACCCUAAGGAAAAAAAGUACAGUACAAUGAUUUGCAUAAGAUUUAUUUGUUAGAAGAUUCAUAAUAGCUCUGUUUAUGUAACAAAAUAAGAGGUGUCCUCUACUUUAAUUUCAAACUUUUACAAAAAGAUUUAACAGUAUGGGAAAGCACUCAAACGUUGAGUGGGAAAAGGACACUAUCUUAAACUAUGUAUUCUCAUUUGUAAGUUUUUACGUAUAUAUGAACAGAUGACACUGGUAUUUUCUGUUGGUAUAUUACAGGUGUUAUAAAUGUUAUUUUUGUCUUUAUGUUUUCUAGAUGAAUGUAUAUAAUACAAAAUCCGGAGGAAAAGGUUUUUUAAAGUAGGCUUUUAAAGCUAUAUACUUCAAAUGCAAAUAUUUCUGGUAGGCUUCUAACACUUGUAUUCCAUGCUAUAGACUCUUUUGCCUUGAGACCAGUUCUCUGUAUCUGCACAAUGUUGGUUUCCAUUAUAAGUAAAUGUUCGCCAUUUACUUAAUUUUAAGUGGUGUUAAUCAGCUGAGUUCGUGUAUAGCCUCUGUAACACCUUAAUGGUGGUAAAUGUGGUUGUCUUUAUGUAAGCAUUUAUUUAUGCAACUGUGUUUAUCACACAAGUGUUCAGUAGAUGCUAGAAUGAUGAGGGGGGGCUCCCUUCUCUAAAAGGGCCAUUAAUCUACAGUGGGUAGAAAAUUCAGGAACACAUCAGUUUAAAAAUUAUGUUGGUUGCAUUCUGAAAGAAUAUACUACUUUUUAAAUUAAGAGUAAAAACCAGUUGCCUUCGAGUCAGUUGCGACUCAUGGCAACCCCAUGUGUGCAAGGUAGAGCUGCAUUCCAUAGGAUUUUCAAGGUCUGAAGCACGUUGCCAGGUCUUUUUUCUGAGGUGCCUCUGGGUAGAUUUGAACUGGCAGCGUUUUGGUUAGUAGCUGAGCACUUAACCAUUUGUGCGGCCCCCCCCCCGAACUCAUAUUAAGGAUAAGGGGUUGUAAAAGUUCAUUCACUUAGUUGUGAAAAUAUUGUUAUUAAGGGCGGGGGGGGGCAAGAGAAAAGUAUAGUAAAUACGAGGAAUGAAAGAAACAAAAAUCUAGCCGUAGUCAUAUUGAAAGGGACACGACUUAUUUAGAAACCACAAUCUUGAAGUUUUUAAAUAAUUGUUCAGAUAGUAGUUUGAGAGUAGGAAAUUGUAGAAUAUAGUUAAUUUUUUUCCCUUCAAAUUAUAAAAUGAAAG
Long non-coding RNA from Loxodonta africana (African savanna elephant), 6363 nucleotides. RefSeq lists it as uncharacterized. Lineage: Eukaryota; Metazoa; Chordata; Mammalia; Proboscidea; Elephantidae. The record is from RefSeq and is a predicted model, not a curated record. The transcript has 2 exons.